UACGGAGGGUGCAAGCGUUAUCCGGAUUCACUGGGGUUAAAGGGCGCGUAGACGGGCUGACAAGUCUGGGGUGAAAUGCCGCGGCUCAACCGUGGAACUGCCUUAGAUACUGUCGGCCUCGAGGAAGGUAGGGGCAUGCGGAACUGUAGGUGGAGCGGUGAAAUGCGUAGAGAUCUGGAGGAACACCGGUGGCGAAGGCGGCCCCCUGGUUCGAUACUGACGCUGAGGUGCGAAAGCGUGGGGAGCAAACAGG
This 253-nucleotide ribosomal RNA is filed under the name uncultured bacterium. RNAcentral describes it as "partial 16S ribosomal RNA". It matches the Rfam family "Bacterial small subunit ribosomal RNA", at positions 524 to 776 of the family's 1533-position model. The record is from RNAcentral.